AUCCCAAUAUCGACAUUAUCAGACUGCCAUCUAAAUGUGGCAUACAAUUGAAAUGAAGGAGCACCCAAAACCAUAUGAAAAGAAGCAUGGUAAAAUCAAAGACUGAAACUAGUGGCUUAAAAAUAAAAGGAAAAUGAAAUUGAAACUAGUUUGCUCCUAUAAUUGAAGCAAAAAGAAGGCAAAGACUAUCCAUUUAGGCAGAACUUAAAAGUACACAGGAAAAAGCUAAGCUAAUACAUUAAAAGGUUCACACUCUCCUCUCCAUUCCUGGUAAGCACUAAAGUAGUAGUUAGGCCUUCUCUUUGACUUUUAUUGCUUUCAUUCAUUCGCUUAUCAUGUUGUUGAACUUUGGCCAUUCUGGUAUCUACAAUUUUAGAGAGCUUCUCACACGGUGUAGUGCUGCUGGAUAGUAUCAAUGUCCAAACCUUUCAGCUUCACCACAGAUUCAACAUGUCCCUUGAGUGUGUGAAGCUCACGAAGCCUGUAAAAAGCAUAGAUGAAACGGAAUUAAUCUUUGUAUAGAUAGUAAUGAUGAUGAUUAUACAUAUAUUUGUAAUCUCAGAAGUGAAUGGCAGGCAUGGCUGCUUACCUUGCAACUUCAGCUCUUCUCUUCGCUUGCUCAGCAAUCUCGGACAGUUCUCUGUAACUGCUCUUCUCAUUGAAAAUACCAGAACUUUCUGGUGGUUGAAGUCCAUGUAGAGUCCUCUGAGCAUGUGCCCAUUGAGCUUCCCUCUCCUCUUUUCCAUAGUCUUUCUUGGUG
This 760-nucleotide long non-coding RNA is filed under the name Medicago truncatula (barrel medic). RNAcentral's name for it is "long non-coding RNA (MTRU_LNC002597)". Lineage: Eukaryota; Viridiplantae; Streptophyta; Magnoliopsida; Fabales; Fabaceae. The record is from RNAcentral.